Molecule: long non-coding RNA, 444 nt
Organism: Pongo pygmaeus (Bornean orangutan)
Lineage: Eukaryota; Metazoa; Chordata; Mammalia; Primates; Hominidae
Exons: 3
Source: RefSeq, a predicted model, not a curated record
UGCGGGGUGGACGCUGCCCAAAUACUCCACAGUGUGGAAGUCAAAAAUGAAGCUGCAGCGGUGCUGAUCUCCCAGGAAAAUGGAGGGCAGCUUCAGCCGGGCUCAGAAGAAUGACAUUGUUGUUGAUGUCCUCCUGUGUGUUUCGCAGACAACUCAACCGAAAUCCAACGAAAAGUGACGUUGCCUUCAAAGAGCCGGCGCCCAAGCCUUUCAAACGAGCACAAGGUGGAGCUCAGAGAGACGCCGGGAGGAUGAGGCGGCACAGGGAAACCUCGGGGCAUCAUGAGGAUGAGGCGGCACAGGGAAACCUCGGGGCAUCGUGGGCUCGGUUCCAGACGCAGCAACACAGCGGCGAUCACAACAAAUGCAGCCACACACACUUUUUGGUUUCCUAGCGCAUGUCAAAUGUAUGUUUACACUACACUGUGGCCUAAUAAAUGUGUG